GACGAACGCUGGCGGCGUGCUUAACACAUGCAAGUCGAACGAUGAAGCGGUGCUUGCACCGUGGAUUAGUGGCGAACGGGUGAGUAAUACGUGAGUGACCUACCUUUGACUCUGGGAUAAGCCUGGGAAACUGGGUCUAAUACCGGAUACGACCAAUCUCUGCAUGGGGUGUUGGUGGAAAGCGUUAUGGAGUGGUUUUAGAUGGGCUCACGGCCUAUCAGCUUGUUGGUGAGGUAAUGGCUUACCAAGGCGACGACGGGUAGCCGGCCUGAGAGGGUGACCGGCCACACUGGGACUGAGACACGGCCCAGACUCCUACGGGAGGCAGCAGUGGGGAAUAUUGCACAAUGGGCGCAAGCCUGAUGCAGCGACGCCGCGUGAGGGAUGACGGCCUUCGGGUUGUAAACCUCUGUUAGCAUCGAAGAAGCGAAAGUGACGGUAGGUGCAGAGAAAGCGCCGGCUAACUACGUGCCAGCAGCCGCGGUAAUACGUAGGGCGCGAGCGUUGUCCGGAAUUAUUGGGCGUAAAGAGCUUGUAGGCGGUUGGUCGCGUCUGCUGUGAAGGCCGGGGCUUAACUCCGGUUUUGCAGUGGGUACGGGCUAACUAGAGUGCAGUAGGGGAGACUGGAAUUCCUGGUGUAGCGGUGGAAUGCACAGAUAUCAGGAGGAACACCGAUGGCGAAGGCAGGUCUCUGGGCUGUAACUGACGCUGAGAAGCGAAAGCAUGGGGAGCGAACAGGAUUAGAUACCCUGGUAGUCCAUGCCGUAAACGUUGGGCACUAGGUGUGGGGGACAUUCCACGUUUUCCGCGCCGUAGCUAACGCAUUAAGUGCCCCGCCUGGGGAGUACGGCCGCAAGGCUAAAACUCAAAGGAAUUGACGGGGGCCCGCACAAGCGGCGGAGCAUGCGGAUUAAUUCGAUGCAACGCGAAGAACCUUACCAAGGCUUGACAUGCAUUAGAUCGCGUCAGAGAUGGCGUUUCCCUUCGGGGCUGGUGUACAGGUGGUGCAUGGUUGUCGUCAGCUCGUGUCGUGAGAUGUUGGGUUAAGUCCCGCAACGAGCGCAACCCUCGUUCUAUGUUGCCAGCGGUUCGGCCGGGGACUCAUAGGAGACUGCCGGGGUUAACUCGGAGGAAGGUGGGGAUGACGUCAAAUCAUCAUGCCCCUUAUGUCUUGGGCUUCACGCAUGCUACAAUGGCCGGUACAGAGGGUUGCGAUACUGUGAGGUGGAGCUAAUCCCUUAAAGCCGGUCUCAGUUCGGAUUGGGGUCUGCAACUCGACCCCAUGAAGUCGGAGUCGCUAGUAAUCGCAGAUCAGCAACGCUGCGGUGAAUACGUUCCCGGGCCU
This 1345-nucleotide ribosomal RNA is filed under the name uncultured bacterium. RNAcentral's name for it is "bacterial SSU rRNA". It matches the Rfam family "Bacterial small subunit ribosomal RNA", at positions 28 to 1381 of the family's 1533-position model. The record is from RNAcentral.